Molecule: ribosomal RNA, 473 nt
Filed under: uncultured Glomus
Lineage: Eukaryota; Fungi; Glomeromycota; Glomeromycetes; Glomerales; Glomeraceae
Description: SSU rRNA
Rfam family: Eukaryotic small subunit ribosomal RNA
Source: RNAcentral
AGCAGCCGCGGUAAUUCCAGCUCCAAUAGCGUAUAUUAAAGUUGUUGCAGUUAAAAAGCUCGUAGUUGAAUUUCGGGAUCAAUAUAUCGGUCGUGCCUUCGGUACGUACUGGUAUCAUUGGUUUCUCCUUUCUGACGAACCAUGAUGUCAUUAAUUUGGUGUUAUGGGGAGUUAGGACUGUUACUUUGAAAAAAUUAGAGUGUUUAAAGCAGGCUUUAGCUUGAAUACAUUAGCAUGGAAUAAUGAAAUAGGACGUUCGAACCUAUUUUGUUGGUUUCUAGGAUCAACGUAAUGAUUAAUAGGGAUAGUUGGGGGCAUUAGUAUUCAAUUGUCAGAGGUGAAAUUCUUGGAUUUAUUGAAGACUAACUACUGCGAAAGCAUUUGCCAAGGAUGUUUUCAUUAAUCAAGAACGAAAGUUAGGGGAUCGAAGACGAUCAGAUACCGUCGUAGUCUUAACCAUAAACUAUGCCGAC